GCUACGGGUGGCAGCAGUGGGGAAUAUUGGGCAAUGGAGGAGACUCUGACCCAGCAACGCCGCGUGAAUGAUGAAGGUCUUCGGAUUGUAAAGUUCUUUUCUAAGGGAAGAAGAAAGUGACGGUACCGUAGGAAUAAGCCUCGGCUAACUACGUGCCAGCAGCCGCUGUAAUACGUAGGCGGCAAGCGUUAUCCGGAAUGAAUGGGCGUAAAGGGUGCGUAGGAGGUUUGACAAGUUGGUAGCGUAACUCCGGUGCUCAACCUGGGCACUACUACCAAAACAGGCGGACUUGAUUGCAGGAGGGGAAAAUGGAAUUCCUGGUGUAGCGGUGGAAUGCGUAGAUAUUAGGAGGAACACCAGUGGCGAAGGCGAUUUGCUGGACUGUAACUGACACUGAGGCACGAAAGCGUGGGUAGCAAACAGGAUUAGAUACCCCUGUAGUC
This 443-nucleotide ribosomal RNA is filed under the name uncultured bacterium. RNAcentral describes it as "partial 16S ribosomal RNA". It matches the Rfam family "Bacterial small subunit ribosomal RNA", at positions 338 to 795 of the family's 1533-position model. The record is from RNAcentral.